Molecule: ribosomal RNA, 508 nt
Filed under: uncultured bacterium
Lineage: Bacteria
Description: partial 16S ribosomal RNA
Rfam family: Bacterial small subunit ribosomal RNA
Source: RNAcentral
AUUGAACGCUGGCGGCAUGCCUUACACAUGCAAGUCGAACGGCAGCGGGGGAGAAGCUUGCUUUUCCUGCCGGCGAGUGGCGAACGGGUGAGUAAUACAUCGGAACGUGCCCUGUAGUGGGGGAUAACUAGUCGAAAGAUUAGCUAAUACCGCAUACGACCUGAGGGUGAAAGUGGGGGACCGCAAGGCCUCAGGCCAUAGGAGCGGCCGAUGUCUGAUUAGCUAGUUGGUGGGGUAAAGGCCUACCAAGGCGACGAUCAGUAGCUGGUCUGAGAGGACGAUCAGCCACACUGGGACUGAGACACGGCCCAGACUCCUACGGGAGGCAGCAGUGGGGAAUUUUGGACAAUGGGCGAAAGCCUGAUCCAGCAAUGCCGCGUGUGUGAAGAAGGCCUUCGGGUUGUAAAGCACUUUUGUCCGGAAAGAAAUGGCUCUGGUUAAUACCUGGGGUCGAUGACGGUACCGGAAGAAUAAGGACCGGCUAACUACGUGCCAGCCGCCGCAGUAA